GACGAACGCUGGCGGCGCGCUUAACACAUGCAAGUCGAACGGAAAGGCCUGCUUUCCCUUGUGGAUUGCGGGUACUCGAGUGGCGAACGGGUGAGUAACACGUGAGUGAUCUGCCCCCAACUUGGGUAUAAGCCUGGGAAACUGGGUCUAAUUCCCGAUAGGACUGCAGGGUGGUGCCGGUGGUGGAAAACGAUUUUCUAGUGGUUGGGGAUGAGCUCGCGGCCUAUCAGCUUGUUGGUGGGGUAAUGGCCUACCAAGGCGGCGACGGGUAGCCGGCCUGAGAGGGUGGACGGCCACAUUGGGACUGAGAUACGGCCCAGACUCCUACGGGCGGCAGCAGUGGGGAAUAUUGCACAAUGGGCGGAAGCCUGAUGCAGCGACGCCGCGUGGGGGAUGACGGCCUUCGGGUUGUAAACUCCUUUCGACCGCGAGGAAGCCACCUGGUUGGGAGGGUGGUGACGGUAGUGGUAGAAGAAGCACCGGCUAACUACGUG
This 494-nucleotide ribosomal RNA is filed under the name uncultured bacterium. RNAcentral's name for it is "partial 16S ribosomal RNA". It matches the Rfam family "Bacterial small subunit ribosomal RNA", at positions 28 to 507 of the family's 1533-position model. The record is from RNAcentral.